This 253-nucleotide ribosomal RNA is filed under the name uncultured bacterium. RNAcentral describes it as "partial 16S ribosomal RNA". It matches the Rfam family "Bacterial small subunit ribosomal RNA", at positions 524 to 776 of the family's 1533-position model. The record is from RNAcentral.
GACGUAGGAGGCGAGCGUUGUCCGGAUUCAUUGGGCGUAAAGAGCACGCAGGCGGUUUGGCAAGUCGGAUGUGAAAACCCGGAGCUCAACUCCGGACCUGCAUCCGAAACUGCCCGACUAGAGGUAGGUAGGGGAGAUCGGAAUUCCUGGUGUAGCGGUGAAAAGCGCAGAUAUCAGGAGGAACACCGGUGGCGAAGGCGGAUCUCUGGGCCUUACCUGACGCUCAGGUGCGAAAGCUAGGGGAGCGAACAGG